RNAcentral lists this ribosomal RNA (373 nucleotides) under uncultured organism. Its description in RNAcentral is "partial 16S ribosomal RNA". It matches the Rfam family "Bacterial small subunit ribosomal RNA", at positions 527 to 896 of the family's 1533-position model. The record is from RNAcentral.
GUAGGUGGCAAGCGUUGUCCGGAAUUAUUGGGCGUAAAGCGCGCGCAGGCGGUUCUUUAAGUCUGAUGUGAAAGCCCACGGCUCAACCGUGGAGGGUCAUUGGAAACUGGAGAACUUGAGUACCGAAGAGGAAAGCGGAAUUCCACGUGUAGCGGUGAAAUGCGUAGAGAUGUGGAGGAACACCAGUGGCGAAGGCGGCUUUCUGGUCUGUAACUGACGCUGAGGCGCGAAAGCGUGGGGAGCAAACAGGGAUUAGAUACCCUGGUAGUCCACGCCGUAAACGAUGAGUGCUAAGUGUUAGGGGGUUUCCGCCCCCUUAGUGCUGCAGCUAACGCAUUAAGCACUCCGCCUGGGGAGUACGACCGCAAGGUUG